GUGUCAGUUUCAGGGUUAACCGGACAUCCGGGAGGAGGUCCGGAUGAUCCGGGCUUGGUCCGGAUGAUCCGGGAGGAAAUCCGGAUGAUCCGGGUUCGUCAGCGCCGGUUCUGUUUUCUGGGUGCGUGGGUUGUCCGGACGUCCGGGGGGGCGUCCAGCUGAUUCGGGGGAUGUCCGGAUGAUCCGGGAGAUGGUCUGGAUGAUCCGGGCAAGUCAAACCGCUCGGGUUUUGCUCGUGGAGACGAAUUUUUGGGCGGCAAUGGGGGAUUUAGGGGUCAAAAUUGACGAGAUUUCGUGGAUGGAAGGUGGGCAAACUUGGGGAAAUGCUAGAUCCACUUGAAACCAAGCAAAUCCACGGAUCAAAAUCAACAAAACAUCAUCAAACCAACAAAUCACAAAAAAAAUUGGGGCUAUUUUUGGUGGGGAUUUUCGGAUUUAGGACGAAAACAACAAAAUCAAGCUAGAAAACACGGGGUAGGGGCUCCAAAAACGUGAUCAACGUGGCUCAUGAUACCAUAUGAUGUAGGGUGGAACCCUAAUUCGUCGAUCUUUCACGUUUGGAGUGGAUCCUAUGGAGGAAACACGAAGAACACGCGGAAGCACAAAGAGAAACACGGGGAAAACGAGAGAGAAUCACUCAACCAACAAGGAAUCGAUCACACAAGUGCUAGAUCAACAUACACACAUGAGAUCCACAAGAUACAUAGUCAACUAGGGUAAGGAUACAAAGGAACCGUUCAUCUCCAAGAGGAGGCCUCGAAUCCACGAGGGGAUCUUCCCGUAAAGGGGUCUUGAAUCCGAAAGGAUCUUCUCCGAAGAGGCCGCGGUCUCUCACGAGGAGGAGAUCCGAUAGAUGAGCGAGGCUCUAUCUCAAAAAUGAGCUAAAUCAACGCUAAGUCUCAAAGUGAGGAGAGGGGGUCCUAUUUAUAGACUUGGGGACGAAGGGGUACAUGGGCUCAGCCCAACACGCGCACACAGGCGCUGGCCGGAUGAUCCGGACGGGGGUCCGGAUGAUCCGGGCUGGUCCGGAUGAUCCGGGUGGUGGCCCGGAUGAGCUGGAGGCCCGGCUGGUGGCGGCGACGGGCCGGAUGUCCGGCUCUAGGUCCGGAUGAUCUGGGCGGGGUCCGGAUGAUCCGGGACGGGGUCCGGAUGAUCCGGCUUCAGGUUUGAGCUUCGGGAGUCUGCGGGCGAUUUAGCCGGAUCGUCCGGGCCUGGGUCCGGAUCGUCCGGGCCGGGGUCCGGAUCAUCCGGGCAUCCUGGUCCUUGGUGAUUUUUCCUCUCCGUCUUCAUGCACGCCUUCCGCUUCCGGUUCUCCUUGCUUCCUAGCUUCUUCAGGGUCGACUCCUUGGUACCUGAGUAUGCAUAGUAUUUCCGUUUGAGGUAGUAACCAUGUCUCAUGUGAAUCGAAAGGGAAUUGUGAGAGGAGUGAUGUCACCUCGGUUUCAAGAGCUCUUGCACGUGCUCGAGUCAUAGGUCCUUGUGGGGUUGAAGGUGUUGAUGUAGAGUCCAUGGGGAUGAUGGAAGGAUGCUCCGCAUCAUAUCCCCCCCCCCCCUUGGGAAAGAUCCGACCUCGGAUCGUGAUCCUCAUCACCAUGGAAAUGGUUGUCGUAGACGGACUUGUAGUUGGACGAAGUUGAAGACAUGGUGCAAUCCGCGUAGUCCAAGGUGUCGCCGGAGUGAUAGACAUGCAAAAAGAGCAAACACAAGCAACACUCGGAAAUACAAUGGUUAGCGCACACAAAGUGUCCAUCAUGUAAGAAUGAGUCCGUGCGGCAAGAUUGGUUGUGACAAAGCGCAUGAAGCUUAUCAAAAUGAUCUAUAAUGAGAUGCAAACCAUUCAUGGGAGGAAAUGCAGUCAUUUUGCACACAAAUGUGUUGUAAAUAUGAUCAAUGCAACCACGGUGCAAAGUGAUGUCAUAGUGAGACGGUUUAUCAAUAGCAUGAAUAUGGCAAUGGAUGCUCAAUAUGUAUAUGUUAUCAUGCAAUUGAUGAUGGACAAUAUGAUCAUGAUGUAUGAAUAUGCCAUCAAGGAAGAUCACAACAAAUUUGCUAAGGAAGUGAACAAUCUCAUAUAUCAUGGAUGACAUGGUAAUACAAGAUGCAACAAGGCAAUCAUAAUGUGAGUCAAUCCAUGCAUAGGGUGCAAACUUGUGGUGAGUAUGAUAUGUCCAUCGAGCAUGACAUAUAUGAGCACAAUCAACAAAUAUGGAUGUGGGAGUGCAAGGUGUCAAAGGAGUGUUGAUGUACCAAUGCUCGAUGUCGUGGCAUGAGUGGAAUUUCGAAGGUGCAUCCAAUAAGUGCGAGCGCUCCUCAAUGUGAAGGUCCAUGUAGCCAAUCUCCAAUGUCGCUCCUCCGGUCGCGAGAUGUAUCAUGUAGACAACAAGAAGGAAACAACAAUGAAAGAGUGACCCAUCCAAUAUGCAUACUUGAGGGUGGCUCAAAGGGAAGGAGUUCACCUUAUGAAUGUUCCCGAAGAUGUCGGAGUUGCACAUCAUGUAUGACUUCACAUAACCAAGUUGUCGCAUAACGGCAUCGCCUUGUGAAACCUCCAAAAUGAAAGAACAUGACAAACACUCGGAAAAACAAAUGAGGUUAGCGGAAAUGCAAAACCUAUCAUUCGAGUGGUAAGAUACCCAACAAGUGUACACAUCAUGCUCAUCAUAAGAAAGUACAAGGGAGCGUUGCAUAGUAUGGAGGCAUAUGAUGCGAGAACAACCAAAUGCAAUAGGCUCAAUCAAACAAACAUGCAUCACAAGUAAAGUGUCCAAGUCUCCAAGAUCAAUAAGCAUAGCAAGUUGGCACUCAAUACAAGGUGAUAUGAGAGAUGCAACUAAUGGAGACAAGAGGUAAUGAUCAUGACAAAUCAAGUGAGAGACAUCAACAUCUAUGUCAUCAACCCAAGAAAGCAAGUAAUAGUGGAACAUGGGUGAUGCAACAUAGCAAGCAAUCAUAGCGAUCAAGUCAAGCAAGCUAGUAGUGCGAAGAUGCAACGUACUAGAAGGAAUCAUGGCAAUCAUGUCAUGUGUGCAAAUAGUGGGCAUGAAUAAUUCACAUGUCAUAGCACAAGCAUGAAAGCAAGAUAUGAGUAAAUUGUCAUCAAUGUAUUGGCGAGAGACCAUAUGUAAAUAGCAAUGGGGCAUCAUGACUCUCCCAACACAACAAGCAUCAAUAGUAUGGGGCACAUGAUAAACAUGGCAAUAGCAACAAGGAUCUCCACCAAGCAUGCAAAUACACAUAGAAGUAGCAUAAUGAUGAAACAUGGGUAGAUGCAAGCAAGGGUCACAAUUGCAUGGCAAAGUCAUGUAAAGAGGCAUAACAUGCAAAGUGAACACGAUAGUAUGGGCAUAAGGUGACAAGUGGUAAAUAGCCCAUAGCCGUGUGAGAGCCAAGUAAAAGAGAUGCGCGUAGUCGAUGCGCAAAGAGAACGGUGGUAAGCAUAGUCCACUGGAUCCCAAGUCAUCGUUGCUCUCGAGAGCUCGUUUCGUCAACUCUUGGGAUUGAGAGGUUGACGAGUAUACAUGAGUACCUACACAAAACAAAGACAAAAGGAAAAUUGUGUGUGCGUGGUAGAUGUACACAUCAUCCAUCAUGAUGCGCACGUGCGUGUGUUUGUUAGCACUAAAUAGCCAAUGCUCAAAUAAAUGAGAUGCGUGAUAUAGAAACAUGUCAUCCAUCAUGAUAGGUUUGUUAUUAUGUAUCGCAUAAUGGAGACUCAAAUUGUGUAAUGCAUCAUGAGAAAUAUCUAGAGCAUUGUUGUUCAUGGAAUGCAUAUGGUGCACGCAGUCAUGGGAAUCAUGCAAAGUAUGGAAUGCAUCAAGAUCUCCUAAUAUGUAUGAGGAAACUAUGGGGGUCUCCUCAUGAGCAAGAGUAGUAACAUCAUGUGGAGAAUAUUGACAACAUCCAAAACAAUGCAUAUUUGGAACAAUGUGAUCAUGGCAUGACAUAUUAGAUGAAUUGCUUAAAUCAUGUAAAGGAAGCAUGGCAAUAUCAUCACAAGAGAAGCAAAAGCCAAUGACCAUCAUCUCGUCAUCUAUGCCAUAAGUGCAAAUGGGAUUGAUUUUAAUGGGGCAUGCAUAGUUACUAUGUUGAGAUUGAAAUGAUGCAAUAUGGGAGAUCUCACUCAUAGCAUAUGACAAGUUCAAAGGAUUGUCAAACAUGAAGUGACCGAUAGAAUUUUCACAUGAUAUCCUAUGAAGCAUAGCAUCACAACUAGGCAACUCAACAUGCUCAUCAUCAUAUUCAUCACAAAUAGGUAAGUCAAGGCAUGAAGAAGUCUCACUAGCAUGAAGCAUGGGAAUAGGUGGGUCAACAUCAUGGGAGCAAUCAAUGUCAAGAGAGUCCACUAGUGGGACAAGAGAAGCACCAUCACCUAUGUUACCUUUGGAGCGUCGCUCAUGUGUUGUAGGUGAGGUGUUGAAGAUCGUCUCGUUGUCAUCUUCAUCUUGAUGGAACCAUGUGGGGGUGCAUCAUCGUCCAUCAUGGCCAUCGUCGUCUCCAUAGGAGGUAUGGACUCAUCAAUGGUAGGCGUGUCGUCAUGUAGGAGACCUAGCACCAAAGAAGAAAACACACUAGGAGUAGAGGUUAAGUCGUUAGAAAUCAUAGUGGCCUCACAUGCCGUGUCAACUACCUCACUCUCUAAGUGUUGUGGCUCACUCACUCCCUCAAGGAUGCUCUCACUCAUAUGGCUGGUGGAGUCACUCAAAUGGCGCUCAACCUCACAUAGGAUGUGUGGCAUGCUCUCAUGUGUGGGUCUAGUGGUGGUCACACUCAUCCUCUCAUAGGAAAUGCUCUCAAUGUCACGUAUGGUGGAGUCACUCAUGUCACUCAUGGGGUGGUGGCUCUCCUCACAUGGCACUUGGCGCAUCUCGACAUAUGUGGGUGUCGGAGAGAUGUUGGUGCAAAUGUCUCCAUGCUCAACUCCUAUCGCCGUAGUCGAAGGGGAUGGCCCUUGAUCGACCUUCUUGUCACCGUCUUGGUGUGGGAGGCCCAUAUGAUGUGGCACCUCGUAGCUCGCCUCCAUGACCGAAGGGAGUUUCCCAUGCUCGGCCAUCUUCCUUGAGGGGCUUCCGAAGAUGGAAGUGUCACCCUCGCUCGUAGGUGGUCGCCUUGGACUUGAUGAAGUCGAUGUAUGCGUACUCGUGGGAAGUAGGCGAAGAUGCCGUACAUUCAAAGGCGAAGAUGCCUUGAGAACACUUGGCGAAGAUGCCGAAGUGGUUGAUGUAGCCGUAGCGCCGUCUUGGUGGUGGUCAUCUCGCGGUCUUCUUUUGUGCUCUUGAAGCUUGGACUUGGCGUGAAGUAGGUCUUGUUGGGACUUGUGCAUUUGCGCUUGUGGAGCAUCUUCAUGAUGAUGAUGUCGUUGUCGUGCUUGAGCUCGUAGUAGAUGUCGUUCGUCGUCGUCGUGCACAUGAUGCUUGGAGGUGACUUGCCCUUCAUGACGAUGUUGAUCACGAACGUGAUGGUGGUCGCCAUGUAGAUGUGGACGAGGACGAUAUGCACUUGCAUCUUUUUCGCGCUCCGAAGACUUGUGGCUUGACCGUCGUCGUCUUGAGGAUGAUGAAGGGGAAGAAGACUUGAUCAAGGCUCUAAUCUCCUCCAUCCUCGCAUCUUGCUCCUCCUUUUGUGCGGCAAGCUUGUUGUCGAUGUAGUCCCUUUUCCUUGCUUCGGAGUGGAAAAUGUCGAUGGAGAGGUUCUCAAUGCGCUCUUGCAAUCUUGAUUGUGCGCCUUGCAUUUGUUGUUGUAGUCCGAAGAUGGACCUUUUGGUGAUGUAGUUGUUCACGCCGUUGUUGUUGUCAUAGACCGGAGAGGGAAUGCCUUGCCUAUCCAUCACAAGACUCGAGCAAAUAUGAGUGGGAGAAAGAGAAGAACUUAUACCAAUGUACCUUGACCGAUGUUGACAAUGAAUCAAGUUCACUCAAAUGCGGACAAUGAAAUAGCACUAUUGGUACCAAUCCUUGUUGGUUCUCACAACUACACAAGUAAAGCUUAUGGUGGAGCUCGGUGAGGAUAGUGGCACAAAAAUUUGAUGCAAAAUGUUAGCAAGAGUUAAUAAUGUUGAAAAAGAUUCACAAAUUCGCAAGUGAAACAAAUGGACCAAUAGCAAAGAAUGGCACAUGGAAACACACACACGGAUAGAUAAAUGGGGUCGUGCAACCAAGGAAUGAGCACAAAAUGUGGAAUCCACGGAAAACGCUCGUGUUGCACAACUCAAGAGAGACACUAGCACGAUUGCUCAAUAGGCGGAUACGACACUUGUGCACAACCUAUAAUAUGCAAAAUGGAUAUUCUUCUAUCCCAAGUAUGCUAUGUAUGUAUGGUUCCCGGUGUUCCUCUCAAGCAUGAUACUAUAUGAUGUAGAUUUGACAAUCUUAUGUGCAAUGGGGUAUGAUGCUAUGGCACUUGCUCACGAGCUCUUUGCUCUCUUUUUCUUGCUUAAAAGCUUUUUUUUCAAUGGCCACUUUUGCACAAUGCACAAACCAAGAUAGCAAUUGUGUAUAUGCGGGAACAAACUUGAGGCACAAUGGAUGAUAUGAUACCAAGAUGAUAUGGUAUGUAUGCAAUGGAUGGUGGAUCACUAAUGUGCACAAGUAACGUUGCCGGCAAUACUCAAAUGGCUAGUCUCGAUAGUCAAGUAACGCAAAAUGGGCUAGGGGUUAACAAUGCAAUUGCAAGGGAAUAUACAAUGGUGUCAUCGAGGUUACCGUCCUUUGUGACGAUGAGUGGCGGUGUUCUUGGUGUAGAUACCAAGAUGAUGGAGACUCGUCCCUAAGUAGCCGAAACACCUUAGGAAACGGAAAAACCGCAAACUCAAAAUCUCAAAUGACAAAUGUCAAAUGGUGGUAGCGGAAAGCGGUGGUGGUGUUGCACUAGGCAAUGCGGAAGUGGAAUGAUGGGCUAUACACGAGUCGGAGUGGAAGUUGCCGUCCCUAAGUAGCCGAAACACCUUAGGAGACACAAGCCACAACUCAAACAAAAUUGGGUUAAGUUAGGGUGGAAUUGUAUGGUGGGCAAGGUUAUGUGGAAGUGGUGGUGGUGGUUGAUGAAGAAGCAAUUGUCCCUAAGUAGCCGAAACACCUUAGGAGACUCUAAUCACAACUCAAACAACCACAUAUGCAAUGGGGAACAAAAUGGGUUAGGUUGCGGAAGUCGGUGGUGGCUAUGCGGAUGAUAUGGUGGAAGGCCUAGGCAAACUUGCCAAAUUUCAGAAAAUAUGAUGGAGUCAAAUGAUGUUGGUGGUAUUUUUGUGGGAUGGGGAAUGUCAAGAGCUUCAAAGCGAGCUAAAGAACGUCAAAAUCGGACUCCGGAUGAAUUAGUUAUGACCAAAACAAAAUUUCAGCCGUGUCAGUUUCAGGGUUAACCGGACAUCCGGGAGGAGGUCCGGAUGAUCCGGGCUUGGUCCGGAUGAUCCGGGAGGAAAUCCGGAUGAUCCGGGUUCGUCAUCGCCGGUUCUAUUUUCUGGGUGCGUGGGUUGUCCGGACGUCCGGGGGGGCGUCCAGCUGAUCCGGGGGAUGUCCGGAUGAUCCGGGCAAGUCAAACCGCUCGGGUUUUGCUCGUGGAGACGAAUUUUUGGGCGGAAAUGGGGGAUUUAGGGGUCAAAAUUGACGAGAUUUCGAGGAUGGAAGGUGGGGAAACUUGGGGAAAUGCUAGACCCACUUGAAACCAAGCAAAUCCACGGAUCAAAAUCAACAAAAUAUCAUCAAACCAACAAAUCACAAAAAAAUUUGGGGCUAUUUUUGGUGGGGAUUUUCGGAUUUAGGACGAAAACAACAAAAUCAAGCUAGAAAACACGGGGUAGGGGCUCCAAAAAUGUGAUCAACGUGGCUCAUGAUACCAUAUGAUGUAGGGUGGAACCCUAAUUCGUCGAUCUUUCACGUUUGGAGGGGAUCCUACGGAGGAAACACGAAGAACACGCGGAAGCACAAAAAGAAACACGGGGAAAACGAGAGAGAAUCACUCAACCAACAAGAAAUCGAUCACACAAGUGCUAGAUCAACAUACACACAUGAGAUCCACAAGAUACAUAGUCAACUAGGGUAAGGAUACAAAGGAACCGUUCAUCUCCAAGAGGAGGCCUUGAAUCCACGAGGGGAUCUUCCCGUAAAGGGGUCUUGAAUCCGAAAGGAUCUUCUCCGAAGAGGCCGCGGUCUCUCACGAGGAGGAGAUCCGAUAGAUGAGCGAGGCUCUAUCUCAAAAACGAGCUAAAUCAACGCUAAGUCUCAAAGUGAGGAGAGGGGGUCCUAUUUAUAGACUUGGGGGCGAAGGGGUACAUGGGCUCAGCCCAACACGCGCACACAGGCGCUGGCCGGAUGAUCCGGACGGGGGUCCGGAUGAUCCGGGCUGGUUCGGAUGAUCCGGGUGGUGGCCCAGAUGAGCUGGAGGCCCGGCUGGUGGCGGCGACGGGCCGGAUGUCCGGCUCUAGGUCCGGAUGAUCCGGG
RNAcentral lists this long non-coding RNA (8432 nucleotides) under Triticum aestivum (bread wheat). RNAcentral describes it as "long non-coding RNA (TAES_LNC022619)". Lineage: Eukaryota; Viridiplantae; Streptophyta; Magnoliopsida; Poales; Poaceae. The record is from RNAcentral.